GCCUCGAUAGUUUAGUGGCAAAACGCUCCCUUGGUAAGGGAGUGAGCGUGGGUUCGAUUCCCACUCGAGGCU
RNAcentral lists this transfer RNA (72 nucleotides) under Patescibacteria group bacterium. RNAcentral describes it as "tRNA-Thr". It matches the Rfam family "tRNA". Rfam says of the family: Transfer RNA (tRNA) molecules are approximately 80 nucleotides in length. Their secondary structure includes four short double-helical elements and three loops (D, anti-codon, and T loops). Further hydrogen bonds mediate the characteristic L-shaped molecular structure. tRNAs have two regions of fundamental functional importance: the anti-codon, which is responsible for specific mRNA codon recognition, and the 3' end, to which the tRNAs corresponding amino acid is attached (by aminoacyl-tRNA synthetases). tRNAs cope with the degeneracy of the genetic code in two manners: having more than one tRNA (with a specific anti-codon) for a particular amino acid; and 'wobble' base-pairing, i.e. permitting non-standard base-pairing at the 3rd anti-codon position. The record is from RNAcentral.